AACGAACGCUGGCGGCAUGCCUAACACAUGCAAGUCGAACGAGACCUUCGGGUCUAGUGGCGCACGGGUGCGUAACGCGUGGGAACCUGCCCUUAGGUUCGGAAUAACUCUCCGACAGGGGUGCUAAUACCGGAUAAUGUCUUCGGACCAAAGAUUUAUCGCCUUAGGAUGGGCCCGCGUUGGAUUCGCUAGUUGGUAGGGUAAAAGCUUCCCAAGGCGACGAUCCAUAGCUGGUCUGAGAGGAUGAUCAGCCACACUGGGACUGAGACACGGCCCAGACUCCUACGGGAGGCAGCAGUGGGGAAUAUUGGACAAUCGGCGAAAGCCUGAUCCAGCAAUGCCGCGUGAGUGAUGAAGGCCUUAGAGUUGUAAAGCUCUUUUAACCGGGAUGAUAAUGACAGUACCGGGAGAAUAAGCUCCGGCUAACUCCGUG
This 433-nucleotide ribosomal RNA is filed under the name uncultured bacterium. RNAcentral's name for it is "partial 16S ribosomal RNA". It matches the Rfam family "Bacterial small subunit ribosomal RNA", at positions 29 to 507 of the family's 1533-position model. The record is from RNAcentral.